Hippocampus zosterae (dwarf seahorse) is the source of this 1437-nucleotide long non-coding RNA. RefSeq lists it as uncharacterized. The transcript has 2 exons. NCBI's taxonomy places the organism in Eukaryota, Metazoa, Chordata, Actinopteri, Syngnathiformes, Syngnathidae. The record is from RefSeq and is a predicted model, not a curated record.
AACAAACACGGCUCAGCGGAGCGUGGCGGCUAACCACGCAGGCAGCAGGAAAGGAGAUGGAGGGGAAACAGAUCAGAGGCUUAGUCGCAGUUUUCCUUCAAGGCGAACCUGAGGGUUGCCUCAAACACCUUUGUAUCAUAAGCCAGCACGCUUGGCUCAACUCUCUGCAGCCAGCAUAGUUUCCUUAACGAGAUACGCACUGUAGUUACAGACAGAGCCGCACAGAUGAUCAAGGUUGGGCCGACUGGCAAGGGCGCCACAGAACAUGGACAGAAAUAUGCUGAACAUUUGACAGCUGAUGUGUGCCAAAUAGGACUAGCAGACUGUAAAGUGUCAGACAUGUAGCUUCGGUGACGAAACCAGAAGCGGAGGAGCAAAUGUUUCCGGCUUGGAAGUGGCAAGCAGACGACAUGUGGGAGCAUGAGGGCGAUUGGAGUCAGGUUGCCGCACCUGACGAGGCACUGAGUGAUGAAACAGGGGAGUGCAUGCUGGGUAAUGCAAUUAGGUUACCAUGCAAGGAAAUGACACACAUUGGCCCGGAACUGAAGAGAUGAAUCAACGAGAUGAAUCAGAAAGGGAUCCCACCAUGCAAUGGUAUUUGCUUGUCAUUGGUGUAGUUAACAAGAGGAUGUAAAGUGCCUCCCUCAUCGCCAUGGAGAUCUAAAGAAUGUGCUUGUGGUCAUGGUGACGAGGGCUGGCUGGGGAAAAGGAUAUGGCGGUUUCCUGCACCUUAGACAAACAACCCCCCCCACCCCCCGCCCCGCUCCAGUGCUAAAUGGCCGGGGUCAGACAGUCAAAACAUAAUUAUCACCCGAUCGCCUGUUGACCUGCUUACCUGACAUUAACCUUGGUCUGCACUAACGGGAGGUGCCGGUUGCCUCAGGGGGGCCAGAUGCUAAUUUGAAGCAGAGUUAGCAGUGAGUAGGCUGGGGGUGUAAUUGCAGCGAUCUAAUAGGGAUCAGUGCCGUGGGAGAUCUCCGUACAUCUGUCGUCUGGCGAAGAACCGCUGCACCUGAGACUCACCAGCUUGGCAGUGCUCACGCUCCACUGUGGGAUUUCAAGAGAGAUGAAGGGUUUCACGGUGAGACUACUGGCAGUCGUGCGGUUCCGUGUUUGAAGAACCUGUCACCUGUCCCGGAUAGACUGAAAAGACAAACCGUUAUAUGGGUACACUACAGGAAAUGAGACAAAAGAGCAUUUAAAUCUUUUUCCACAAUGCCAAUUUUGAACUUCUAAAAUCACACAAAUACAUAGAUAUCCCAAUAUUUAAAUAUUUUCUUCUUGAGCAACUUGAAUGUAAUGUAGAUUGGAAAUUGUCUUUUUAUGCAAAGACAAACCUCCCAAGCACAAUUGGGGAGAACAAAGAUGUAUUUUUGUUAUCGUGUCGCUUUUGUUUCACUACUCAUCAAAAGUCAUAAAUACACUAUUAAUUCUGUU